RNAcentral lists this ribosomal RNA (531 nucleotides) under uncultured bacterium. Its description in RNAcentral is "bacterial SSU rRNA". It matches the Rfam family "Bacterial small subunit ribosomal RNA", at positions 111 to 643 of the family's 1533-position model. The record is from RNAcentral.
UAACGCGUAGGAAUCUACCUGGUAGUGGGGGACAACUUGGGGAAACUCAAGCUAAUACCGCAUACGCCCUAAGGGGGAAAGCGGGGGACCUUCGGGCCUCGCGCUAUCGGAUGAGCCUGCGUAGGAUUAGCUAGUUGGUGGGGUAAAGGCCCACCAAGGCGACGAUCCUUAGCUGGUCUGAGAGGAUGAUCAGCCACACUGGAACUGAGACACGGUCCAGACUCCUACGGGAGGCAGCAGUGGGGAAUAUUGCGCAAUGGGCGAAAGCCUGACGCAGCCAUGCCGCGUGUGUGAAGAAGCCUUAGGGUUGUAAAGCACUUUCAAUUGGGAAGAAAAGUUUGUCGUUAAUAGCGCCAAGCUCUGACAUUACCUUUAGAAGAAGCACCGGCUAACUCCGUGCCAGCAGCCGCGGUAAUACGGAGGGUGCAAGCGUAAUCGGAAUCACUGGGCGUAAAGCGCGCGUAGGCGGCUUGGUAAGUCAGAUGUGAAAGCCCGGGCUCAACCUGGGAAUUGCAUUGAUACUGCCAACUA